RNAcentral lists this transfer RNA (72 nucleotides) under Bos taurus (domestic cattle). It matches the Rfam family "tRNA". Rfam says of the family: Transfer RNA (tRNA) molecules are approximately 80 nucleotides in length. RNAcentral also lists the same sequence under 3 other names. Lineage: Eukaryota; Metazoa; Chordata; Mammalia; Artiodactyla; Bovidae. The record is from Rfam by way of RNAcentral.
UCCCUAUUGGCUCAGAUGGUAAAGAAUCUGCCUGCAAUGCAGGAGACCUGGGUUCGAUCCCUGGGUUGGGAA